Non-coding RNA from Caenorhabditis elegans, 21 nucleotides. Lineage: Eukaryota; Metazoa; Nematoda; Chromadorea; Rhabditida; Rhabditidae. The record is from Ensembl.
UUGGUCGUUUUCCAAAUUGUG